This 253-nucleotide ribosomal RNA is filed under the name uncultured bacterium. Its description in RNAcentral is "partial 16S ribosomal RNA". It matches the Rfam family "Bacterial small subunit ribosomal RNA", at positions 524 to 776 of the family's 1533-position model. The record is from RNAcentral.
UACGGAGGGGACUAGCGUUGUUCGGAAUUACUGGGCGUAAAGCGCACGUAGGCGGAUUUGUAAGUCAGGGGUGAAAUCCCGGGGCUCAACCUCGGAACUGCCUUUGAUACUGCAAAUCUCGAGUCCGGAAGAGGUGAGUGGAAUUCCUAGUGUAGAGGUGAAAUUCGUAGAUAUUAGGAAGAACACCAGUGGCGAAGGCGGCUCACUGGUCCGGUACUGACGCUGAGGAGCGAAAGCAUGGGGAGCGAACAGG